This 224-nucleotide long non-coding RNA is filed under the name Mytilus galloprovincialis (Mediterranean mussel). Lineage: Eukaryota; Metazoa; Mollusca; Bivalvia; Mytilida; Mytilidae. The record is from RNAcentral.
UAUCACGGUCGUUGUGAGGUCUUCAAGAUCGUGAAGAGCGUGGCCAACUUUGAACAUGUUCAAAACAAUCGUGGUGCGGUCGUGGCGAAAUCAGGUCGUAGUAGAAGCGUAGUGAGAGCGCACUAAGAUCGUAGUAAGAUCGCAAAGGUCGCUGUACAAUCGUAGUGAGAGCGUAGCGAAAGCGUGAUUCUAUUCGGAGAGACUGCGCUACGAUCGCACAGCGA